RNAcentral lists this ribosomal RNA (518 nucleotides) under uncultured bacterium. RNAcentral describes it as "bacterial SSU rRNA". It matches the Rfam family "Bacterial small subunit ribosomal RNA", at positions 8 to 518 of the family's 1533-position model. The record is from RNAcentral.
AGAGUUUGAUUCUGGCUCAGGAUGAACGCUAGCGGCAGGCUUAACACAUGCAAGUCGAGGGGCAGCGGGAUGUAGCAAUACAUUGCCGGCGACCGGCGGAUGGGUGCGUAACGCGUAUGCAACCUACCUUAUACAGGGGAAUAACCUUUCGAAAGGGAGACUAACACCCCAUAGUAUUGAUUUAAGGCAUCUUAGAUUAAUUAAAUAUUUAUAGGUAUAAGAUGGGCAUGCGUAUGAUUAGCUAGUUGGUAAGGUAACGGCUUACCAAGGCGACGAUCAUUAGGGGUUCUGAGAGGAAGGUCCCCCACACUGGUACUGAGACACGGACCAGACUCCUACGGGAGGCAGCAGUGAGGAAUAUUGGUCAAUGGGCGCAAGCCUGAACCAGCCAUGCCGCGUGCCAGGAAGACGGCCUUAUGGGUUGUAAACUGCUUUUACAUAAGACUAACCGUAUAUUUGCGAAUAUACCUGAAUGUAUUAUGAGAAUAAGGAUCGGCUAACUCCGUGCCAGCAGCCGC